Molecule: transfer RNA, 63 nt
Filed under: Cryptocephalus bipunctatus
Lineage: Eukaryota; Metazoa; Arthropoda; Insecta; Coleoptera; Chrysomelidae
Description: tRNA-Arg
Source: RNAcentral
AAAUAAGAAGCAAUUCAUUGCAGCUAGUUUCGACCUAGAAGUUUGACAUUAUGUCCUUAUUUA